RNAcentral lists this ribosomal RNA (250 nucleotides) under uncultured bacterium. RNAcentral describes it as "partial 16S ribosomal RNA". It matches the Rfam family "Bacterial small subunit ribosomal RNA", at positions 524 to 773 of the family's 1533-position model. The record is from RNAcentral.
UACGGAGGAUGCGAGCGUUAUCCGGAUUCAUUGGGUUUAAAGGGUGCGCAGGCGGACUGAUAAGUCAGUGGUGAAAUCCCAUAGCUCAACUAUGGAACUGCCAUUGAUACUGUCAGACUAGAGUAUAUUUGACGUAGGCGGAAUGCGACAUGUAGCGGUGAAAUGCUUAGAUAUGUCGCAGAACACCGAUUGCGAAGGCAGCUUACGAAACUAUAACUGACGCUCAUGCACGAAAGCGUGGGGAUCAAAC